GACGAACGCUGGCGGCGUGCCUAAUACAUGCAAGUCGAGCGAGCGGAACCAACAGAUUUACUUCGGUAAUGACGUUGGGAAAGCGAGCGGCGGAUGGGUGAGUAACACGUGGGGAACCUGCCCCUAAGUCUGGGAUACCAUUUGGAAACAGGUGCUAAUACCGGAUAAUAAAGCAGAUCGCAUGAUCAGCUUUUGAAAGGCGGCUUCGGCUGUCGCUCUUAGAUGAUCCCGCGGCGUAUUAGUUAGUUGGUGGGGUAAAGGCCUACCAAGACCAUGAUACGUAGCCGACCUGAGAGGGUGAUCGGCCACACUGGGACUGAGACACGGCCCAGACUCCUACGGGAGGCAGCAGUAGGGAAUCUUCCACAAUGGGUGAAAACCUAGAUGGAGCAAUGCCGCGUGAAUGAAGAAGGUACUUCGGUAUCGUAAAGUUACUGUUAUUAGAGAAGAACAAGUCAA
This 459-nucleotide ribosomal RNA is filed under the name uncultured bacterium. RNAcentral describes it as "bacterial SSU rRNA". It matches the Rfam family "Bacterial small subunit ribosomal RNA", at positions 28 to 457 of the family's 1533-position model. The record is from RNAcentral.